AAAGUGAAAGUGUUAGUCGCUCAGUUGUGUCCGCCUCUUUGUGACCCCAUGGACGGUUGCCCACCAGGCUCCUCUGUCCAUGAGAUUUUCCAGGCAAGGAUACUGGAGUGGGGUGCCAUUUCCUUCUCCAGUGGA
Long non-coding RNA from Cervus elaphus (red deer), 135 nucleotides. RefSeq lists it as uncharacterized. The record is from RefSeq and is a predicted model, not a curated record. The transcript has 3 exons. Lineage: Eukaryota; Metazoa; Chordata; Mammalia; Artiodactyla; Cervidae.